Molecule: non-coding RNA, 1282 nt
Organism: Paramisgurnus dabryanus
Lineage: Eukaryota; Metazoa; Chordata; Actinopteri; Cypriniformes; Cobitidae
Source: RefSeq, a predicted model, not a curated record
GUCCUCUUCAAAAGUGCUGUCAAGGGUGUGGAUGAUCUCUGAUUCUGGUCCACGUGGCAGUUCUUGCAUCGGCGGUGGCGGGGGUGCAGAAGGUGGUGCUUGUCGUGCUGGCUGUUGUAUCUGUGCGGCUUGUUGAGCUGGUGGUGGUGGAGGGCGACGUUGUGGAGGGGGUUGGAGGUCAUCGUCCAGAAGCGGUACCCUUGUGAAUUGGAAAUGUACCCCAGGUGGGGUACGUGCAGGUGCAUAGGGAGGAGGGGAAAAAAAAAAGAAAGUUAGGUUCAUCAUGUAAUGAAUCUGAUGUAGGAAAAACAUUUGCUUAAUGUUUAGCUCUGACUUAGUCUGAGUCAGCUCGUCCUUGGUUCUUAUCUUACUCUGUGCUCUCAUUUCUCUGCCAUCCGCAAUGAUCUUUUCCCUUAAUAAAGUGAGUGCUUUUACACUCAGUGUCCCUUUAGGAGGAAAAUUAUACCUUUUCUCCCAGAUGUUUACGGUUUCCAACGCCCCCGUGCCCUUCGAUUUGAUCACUCGAGCAUACACACCAUUUUCCAGAUCCAUUGACUUUGUACUCCCUUUCGAAUUACCCUGACCCAUGGUCACGAACGAAAUAACGCUUACCGUAUUAUCUAUUCAGAUGCCACCACAACGGUUCUUUUCCAGAUUCCGUCAGCCUUGACUUCAGAACUGGUUGAGACUCUCCCUUCCCUUAGGCCUGGGGUACGGAGCCCGAGACCUCUUGUCUCAGGGGUGAUCAGUCAGUCUCUCCCAAACCUGGAGUCUACAGCUGUGGAAUCCGCAUCCUCGUCGCCAUUAUUGUCGUGGAAUUUUAGCCGCAUCAAAUAAUACUCACUAAGAGUCAAAGUCAAGGAUCACACAGACACACUGUCGACAGAAUUUUCUUUGUCUGAAUUUUAUAUAUUCUGCAGAAUAGGCUCUCACCCCCAUGGUGCAAGAAGUUUAAAAACCUAAGAGCCCCGAUCACAAGGUUGAAGACACAUUUAUAGUAAGAUGCUGAAACACGUACAAUCAUCCGUUUCUACGUCAUUUAGAAGAUAGCCUUCAGUUGUCAGUGAUUAAGAGCAAAGACCGUUAAACAUAAUCAUAAAGGACAGUACAUGCUGGUACAUGAUGUUUAAGUCCUUCCUUGGACAUUGUACUUGCUGAAAAGACAGAAAGAGCAUAAUUCUGUACGUUAGCAGAAAAACAUGAUCUCCAUAUGAAUCACAAUUUGUGAGCUUCAGAUUGUUAUUAAAAAAUGAAAAAUAGGAUGAAAAAUAAAACAUAAUAA